Molecule: ribosomal RNA, 253 nt
Filed under: uncultured bacterium
Lineage: Bacteria
Description: partial 16S ribosomal RNA
Rfam family: Bacterial small subunit ribosomal RNA
Source: RNAcentral
UACGGGGGGUGCGAGCGUUGUCCGGAUUUACUGGGCGUAAAGAGCGUGUAGGCGGCCAAACAGGUCCGUUGUGAAAACUGGAGGCUCAACCUCCAGACGUCGACGGAAACCGUGUGGCUAGAGUCCGGAAGAGGAGAGUGGAAUUCCUGGUGUAGCGGUGAAAUGCGCAGAUAUCAGGAAGAACACCAAUGGCGAAGGCAGCUCUCUGGGACGGUACUGACGCUGAGACGCGAAAGCGUGGGGAGCGAACAGG